RNAcentral lists this ribosomal RNA (253 nucleotides) under uncultured bacterium. Its description in RNAcentral is "partial 16S ribosomal RNA". It matches the Rfam family "Bacterial small subunit ribosomal RNA", at positions 524 to 776 of the family's 1533-position model. The record is from RNAcentral.
UACAGAGGGGGCAAGCGUUGUUCGGAAUUACUGGGCGUAAAGGGCGCGUAGGUGGCCUUCUAAGUUGAACGUGAAAUCCCUGGGCUCAACCCAGGAACUGCGUCCAAGACUGGGAGGCUUGAAUCCGGGAGAGGGAUGCGGAAUUCCAGGUGUAGCGGUGAAAUGCGUAGAUAUCUGGAGGAACACCGGUGGCGAAGGCGGCAUCCUGGACCAACACUGACACUGAGGAGCGAAAGCCAGGGGAGCAAACGGG